ACCUGCGGAGGGAUCAUUAUAGAGUGUUAAAACUCCAAACCAUUGCGAACCUACCACUGUUGCCUCGGCGGGUUGGCUGCUGGGAGAAAUAAGUUACCCUGUAGGAAGUUACCCUGUAGCGACUUACCCUGUAGCGAGUCACCCUGUAGCCUGCCCGCCGGCGGCCCAACCAAACUCUGUUUUUUUGUGGCAACUCUGAGGAUUAUAUAAAUAUAUUAAAACUUUCAACAACGGAUCUCUUGGUUCUGGCAUCGAUGAAGAACGCAGCGAAAUGCGAUAAGUAAUGUGAAUUGCAGAAUUCAGUGAAUCAUCGAAUCUUUGAACGCACAUUGCGCCCAUUAGUAUUCUAGUGGGCAUGCCUGUUCGAGCGUCAUUUCAAACCAUUAAGCCCUAUUUGCUUAGCGUUGGGAGACUUGUAGGCGCUGCCUGCAAGCUCCUCAAAUGGAUCGGCGGAGUCGUGGCGACCCUCAGCGUAGUAAUUUCUCUCGCUUUAGGUGUCGGCGCUGGCGUCUGGCCGUUAAACCCCCCAUUUUUUAGUCUUGACCUCGGAUCAGGUAGGAAUACCCGCUGAACUUAAGCAUAUCAUAG
Molecule: ribosomal RNA, 588 nt
Filed under: Eutypella sp. E9904a
Lineage: Eukaryota; Fungi; Ascomycota; Sordariomycetes; Xylariales; Diatrypaceae
Description: eukaryotic LSU rRNA
Rfam family: 5.8S ribosomal RNA (bases 220-373)
Source: RNAcentral